RNAcentral lists this ribosomal RNA (465 nucleotides) under Vreelandella stevensii. Its description in RNAcentral is "partial 16S ribosomal RNA". It matches the Rfam family "Bacterial small subunit ribosomal RNA", at positions 338 to 795 of the family's 1533-position model. Lineage: Bacteria; Pseudomonadati; Pseudomonadota; Gammaproteobacteria; Oceanospirillales; Halomonadaceae. The record is from RNAcentral.
UCUACGGGGAGCAGCAGUGGGGAAUAUUGGACAAUGGGCGAAAGCCUGAUCCAGCCAUGCCGCGUGUGUGAAGAAGGCCUUCGGGUUGUAAAGCACUUUCAGUGGGGAAGAAAGCCUUGGGGCUAAUACCCUCGAGGAAGGACAUCACCCACAGAAGAAGCACCGGCUAACUCCGUGCCAGCAGCCGCGGUAAUACGGAGGGUGCGAGCGUUAAUCGGAAUUACUGGGCGUAAAGCGCGCGUAGGCGGUCUGAUAAGCCGGUUGUGAAAGCCCCGGGCUCAACCUGGGAACGGCAUCCGGAACUGUCAGGCUAGAGUGCAGGAGAGGAAGGUAGAAUUCCCGGUGUAGCGGUGAAAUGCGUAGAGAUCGGGAGGAAUACCAGUGGCGAAGGCGGCCUUCUGGACUGACACUGACGCUGAGGUGCGAAAGCGUGGGUAGCAAACAGGAUUAGAUACCCUAGUAGUC